This 501-nucleotide ribosomal RNA is filed under the name uncultured bacterium. RNAcentral's name for it is "partial 16S ribosomal RNA". It matches the Rfam family "Bacterial small subunit ribosomal RNA", at positions 30 to 523 of the family's 1533-position model. The record is from RNAcentral.
AUUGAACGCUGGCGGCAGGCUUAACACAUGCAAGUCGAGCGGAGAUGAGGUGCUUGCACCUUAUCUUAGCGGCGGACGGGUGAGUUAUGCUUAGGCAUCUGCCUAUUAGUGGGGGACAACAUUCCGAGAGGAAUGCUAAUACCGCAUACGUCCUACGGGAGAAAGCAGGGGAUCUUCGGACCUCGCGCUAAUAGAUGCGCCUAAGUCGGAUUAGCUUGUUGGGGGGGUAAAGGCCUACCAAGGCGACGAUCUGUAGCGGGUCAGAGAGGAUGAACCGCCACACUGGGGAUGAGACACGGCCCAGAAUCCUAAGGGAGGCAGCAGGGGGGAAAUUUGGACAAUUGGGGGAACCCUGAUCCAGCCAAGCCGCGUGUGUGAAGAAGGCCUUAUGGUUGUAAAGCAGUUUAAGCGAGGAGGAGGCUACUGAGACUAAUACUCUUGGAUAGUGGACGGUACUCGCAGAAUAAGCACCGGCUAACUCUGUGCCAGCCGCCGCCGUAA